GACGAACGCUGGCGGCGUGCUUAACACAUGCAAGUCGAACGGAAAGGCCCUGCUUUUGUGGGGUGCUCGAGUGGCGAACGGGUGAGUAACACGUGAGUAACCUGCCCUUGACUUUGGGAUAACUUCAGGAAACUGGGGCUAAUACCGGAUAGGAGCUCCUGCUGCAUGGUGGGGGUUGGAAAGUUUCGGCGGUUGGGGAUGGACUCGCGGGUUAUCAGCUUGUUGGUGGGGUAGUGGCUUACCAAGGCUUUGACGGGUGGCCGGCCUGAGAGGGUGACCGGCCACAUGGGGACUGCGAUACGGCCCAGACUCCUACGGGAGGCAGCAGUGGGGAAUAUUGCACAAUGGGCGGAAGCCUGAUGCAGCAACGCCGCGUGCGGGAUGACGGCCUUCGGGUUGUAAACCGCUUUCGCCUGUGACGAAGCGUGAGUGACGGUAAUGGGUAAAGAAGCACCGGCUAACUACGUG
Molecule: ribosomal RNA, 468 nt
Filed under: uncultured bacterium
Lineage: Bacteria
Description: partial 16S ribosomal RNA
Rfam family: Bacterial small subunit ribosomal RNA
Source: RNAcentral